CAGGUCAGCAUACUGUGGUGAAUACGUUCCCGGGCCUUGUACACACCGCCCGUCACACCAUGAGAGUUGAGAAUACCCGAAGCCCAUGUCAAAGUGGUCGAAGGUAGGCUUGAUGAUUGGGGUGAAGUCGUAACAAGGUAAC
This 142-nucleotide ribosomal RNA is filed under the name uncultured bacterium. RNAcentral describes it as "partial 16S ribosomal RNA". It matches the Rfam family "Bacterial small subunit ribosomal RNA", at positions 1345 to 1500 of the family's 1533-position model. The record is from RNAcentral.